GACGAACGCUGGCGGCAGGCUUAACACAUGCAAGUCGAACGCCCCGCAAGGGGAGUGGCAGACGGGUGAGUAACACGUGGGAACAUGCCCAAAGGUACGGAAUAUCCUCGGGAAACUGGGAGCAAUACCGUAUGUGCCCGAAAGGGGAAAGAUUUAUCGCCUUUGGAUUGGCCCGCGUUGGAUUAGCUAGUUGGUGGGGUAAAAGCCUACCAAGGCGACGAUCCAUAGCUGGUCUGAGAGGACGACCAGCCACACUGGGACUGAGACACGGCCCAGACUCCUACGGGAGGCAGCAGUGGGGAAUCUUGGACAAUGGGCGCAAGCCUGAUCCAGCCAUGCCGCGUGAGUGAUGAAGGCCCUAGGGUUGUAAAAACUCUUUCGUGGGGGACGGAUAAUGACGGUACCCCAAGAAGAAGACUCCGGCUAACUUCGUG
This 434-nucleotide ribosomal RNA is filed under the name uncultured bacterium. RNAcentral's name for it is "bacterial SSU rRNA". It matches the Rfam family "Bacterial small subunit ribosomal RNA", at positions 28 to 507 of the family's 1533-position model. The record is from RNAcentral.